This 1787-nucleotide long non-coding RNA is filed under the name Gallus gallus (chicken). Lineage: Eukaryota; Metazoa; Chordata; Aves; Galliformes; Phasianidae. The record is from RNAcentral.
CCGCCGCCCCGCUUUGUCCCCGGCCUCCGCCGCGCCGCCCCCGCCCCGGCCCCGCCGGGCCCCGCCGCUCCCUACCUCGCCCCGCCGCUGCCCCCGCCGCUACGAGGCGGCCAUCUUGUGCGGCGCUGCGCCCGCCCCGGCGCGGGGGGGCUCCGCCUCCACCCGCCGCGCGGCCCCGACCGGGGGUGGCCCGGGGACGGCGGCCCCCACCGAGCUGUCCCGGAGGACCGGGGGCGCGGCGGGGGGAGGGGGUGCGCGGCGCGAGGGAGCAGUUGGAGAGAUGCUGACUGUUUACACCAACGGAGCAAGAAGACGGAGAGCCAUUUGAGGAGGGCGGCAUGGGCAGCACCACUGAGCAACGACAAAUUUCAGCCCCCAGCAUCUUCCUUCUCUAUUUGCAAGAAUACCCGUGGCUUGAAGAAACCCAGCAGGAGGAGGAACAAGUGCAGUGCUGGAGUGAUGGAGGCCCUAACAGCCAUCUGGGAGCACAGCAAAGCUCUCUGUGCCCUGGAAAGAAAGGAUUCCGGAGAUGGAAGACACCUCUGACCCAUAGCAGCCCCCGUGAGAGGCUAUAUCCCAUAAGAGGAAAGGGAGAGAUGAGGCCGCUGUCUGCCCCAGGAGGCCCUGACCCCAGCAGUGGGCACGGGGGGGGGGGUUCAGCCCUUUUGUGGGUCUCAUCCUCUGCACAGUGCAGGGAGUGAGGUGCCCCCACACCUCUCCUUAGCUGGAGGCAGAGAAGAGCUGCGUGAUGCUUGAUGGUUUCAAGGAGAAAAAAAAAAGAGAGAAAGAACGGAAGAAAAACAAGAAAGCAUCUGGAUUUUGUUGUAAGCUAAACACAAAUAACAGCACAGAGAUUUCUGCUGGUUUUGUUUUGUUUUCCAUUGGAACGGACCCAAGCACGUUCACCCUGUGCUGCAGCACAGAUGUGGGGGGGGGGGAAUCUAUGGCACACAUCCCAGCGGCCUCACGGAUACCCACAGUGCUGCUGCAGGGAGGGCAGCUCAGGGCCCAGCAGCAGUGCCAGCCGUGCGCCCAUCUUCAUGACCACAGCGCUCAUUUGGACUCGGGGUGCUGCGGUGGAGCUCCGUCUUGCAGCGCCUUCACGAAGUCCCCCACCUGUGCCAUCAGCGCGUCCUGCGCGGCCGCAUCGUGCUCAAAGUCCCCCUCGACGUCCAGCACCAGGACAGGUGCGUGCCUCACCUCCGCAAAAUGCACCUCAGCGCUGCGCUCCAGCAGCCACCGCUCGUGCUGCGCGUGGAGCUGCUGCAGGUACCGCAGGGUCACGUCGCGUUCCUCCGGCCUCGCCCGGCACCGCAGCCUCUCCAGGCAUCUCUGCGGGGAGGCGCGGAGAUAGAGGAAGCCGUGCGGGGCGGUGUGCGCGCCCAGCUGCCCCACGAGGAACGUGUGCCACUCCUGGUAGAUGGCCCACUCCAGGGCGUCCAGCUGCCCGCCCUCGAACAGGCUCUUGGCGAAGACGUACCUGUCGCUGUACACGGAGCGCUCAGACACCCGCACGGGGCCCUCCGGCCGCUCGAGCUGCGCCUGCAGGCGGCCCAGGCACGAGAAGGUCUGGAAGGUGAAGGCCCAGCGCGCCGGGUCGCGGUACAGCCGCUGCAGGAGAUUGCCGCCCUGCGCCGCUCCCGCCACCACCUCCCGCCAGCGCGCCACCGGCUCCGCCGCCCGCUGCCACGCGGGGAAGGCGCGGCCCAGCAGCCGCAGGAACGUCGAUUUGCCCACGGCGAUGUUGCCCUCCAGCGCCAGGCGCAGCGCGGCGCCGCUCCGCCCCA